Molecule: long non-coding RNA, 849 nt
Organism: Melospiza melodia melodia
Lineage: Eukaryota; Metazoa; Chordata; Aves; Passeriformes; Passerellidae
Exons: 6
Source: RefSeq, a predicted model, not a curated record
UAUUCCAUGUUUCGUUCUUUCUUAAUGCAACAGCUAUGUCAUAGUCUUCUUUGAAAAUUGAGUUGAAAAAUCUGCAACCAGUGAGGUGUGGAAGGUACUUCCCUUGUUGCCUCUGGGUCUUUGAAUUGGAGAAAUAAUCCUGAACUGUUGUUUGUUUGCUACAGGCGUCUUGCUUCCCUUAAGCAUGCAAUGGGAUUUGACAUCAGUGCUGUUUCUCCAUGCUGAUACUGUGAUUAAACUCCCAAAUCUGAGCAGAACCUCUUGAGAAAAUUUCAUGAUCUGAGCAACCUGCUGCAGCUUGUUGUAGCAGUGAAGGGUUAAGGCACUAACAGAAACUCGAGUACUUCUCUAAUUUAUAGAAGAAGCUAACAUAUGGGAUUCCUUCUACUGAAGAUCUUGCAACUCUGGAAAUAUUACACAGGCUUUGCAGUAGAAACUGUCAUAUGCCAGAAAUUCAGCUGAAUGCUUCUUGGAUUUCUCUGUCUGAACACCAUGGAGAUGAUGUCUGUCACAAUUGUACAGCUGCUGCAAGUGAUGGUGUGAUAAUUUCCAAAGCUGUUUGUGACUGAAAAUUAAGUGAAGUUGUGACAUACCUGGAACAGUCUUACUUCAGUGACCUAAACUACUUACCUCUGAGAGGUCUGUGAAGAAUACAACACUUACUGUUCUGUCAGGUCUCUGCAACAUGAUUCUUACACUGAGAUGGAUUUAUCCUUACAGAUAUCCCCAGACUUGAGUGCUUGGUGGACUGCAUUGUGAAAGCCAUUGCCCUGAGGUACCAGUCACACUGAACUGAGCCUAAAGCUACUAAAAAGUUGAAGAUUCUGGCUAUGAAAAAAUAUCUAUUCU